GUAUAUAUAGUUUAAUUAAAACAUUAGAUUGUGGUUCUAAAGAUAAAAGUUAAAAUCUUUUUAUUUACC
This 69-nucleotide transfer RNA is filed under the name Apristurus macrorhynchus (flathead catshark). RNAcentral's name for it is "tRNA-His". It matches the Rfam family "tRNA". Rfam says of the family: Transfer RNA (tRNA) molecules are approximately 80 nucleotides in length. Their secondary structure includes four short double-helical elements and three loops (D, anti-codon, and T loops). Lineage: Eukaryota; Metazoa; Chordata; Chondrichthyes; Carcharhiniformes; Scyliorhinidae. The record is from RNAcentral.